This 71-nucleotide transfer RNA is filed under the name Fidelibacterota bacterium. RNAcentral's name for it is "tRNA-Gln". It matches the Rfam family "tRNA". From Rfam's summary of the family: Transfer RNA (tRNA) molecules are approximately 80 nucleotides in length. Their secondary structure includes four short double-helical elements and three loops (D, anti-codon, and T loops). Lineage: Bacteria; Pseudomonadati; Fidelibacterota. The record is from RNAcentral.
UGGGGAGUAGUCUAAGGGUAGGACAGCGGGUUUUGAUCCCGCCAGUUGGGGUUCGAAUCCCUACUCCCCAA